CCUUUAACUUUCUGCAAAUACGCUCAACCAAAGCAGAGUAUGUGACCUCUUCCACUUAUUUCUUCAAUACAAUCGUGUGAAUUUCAUCUUCUCCUUCACCAUCUCUCGAUAUCCAAUUUAUUUCAGCCUUAUCCUUCAUAUAAUAUCCCCUGUAAUCAAAACAAAUGAUUGUGCAAGGCGGAUUUUGCAUUUUUCCUGAAAUAAAAUAGAAUAUCAUUAGAAUUAUCAUUAUUAAGAUGCUUAG
RNAcentral lists this long non-coding RNA (244 nucleotides) under Brassica rapa (field mustard). RNAcentral describes it as "long non-coding RNA (BRAP_LNC002698)". The record is from RNAcentral. Lineage: Eukaryota; Viridiplantae; Streptophyta; Magnoliopsida; Brassicales; Brassicaceae.